Molecule: long non-coding RNA, 2240 nt
Filed under: Capsicum annuum
Lineage: Eukaryota; Viridiplantae; Streptophyta; Magnoliopsida; Solanales; Solanaceae
Description: long non-coding RNA (CANN_LNC012034)
Source: RNAcentral
UCCAUUAAAACAGUCGUUGAAGCUUUGAAAAUAAAAAAAGAGAGAGAGACUCCCCUCCUUAACGAAAUCAACCUAAAAAGGUAAGAGAUUUUCAUGUAUUAGUUUUAAAUUCUUCUAAUUUGUUAAAAGUUGUAAAAUCAAGUUAUCUUUUGAUAUUAGGAUUUGAGGGAAGGCAAGACGAAGGGACUUGGUUUGGGUUAAACCCGUCUUUUAUUAAAUUAUUUAAUUAAAAUUAUUUAUUUAAUAAAAAGUGUCCAACAUGCGUUAACUGAUAGUCAAGGUUGAUAAAAAUAGGGUCAAAACAUGAAAUUAAAAUGGUCUUUUAAGAGUUUUGUGAGGUAAUAGGAUAUUCAUAAAUUUAAAAUGUCUUUUAUCAAAUUCGUGAUAACGCCAAUGAUGAUCUUGUAUCUUUUAUCUAAAAAAUAAAUAAAUUAUCGAUUAUGACUCAUGUUGUUAUUUACUACAAAUACAUAACAACAACUUUUGCUUCAUUCACAAGCUGUUUUGUUAUAUUUCAAAUUAGUGAAAUCAUUAGUGAAAGUGGACAUAAUGUCAUUAUUGGCAAAUAAAUAUAUUGUUGUCAAAAUAAAUCCAGAUUAAUGGCAGUUUGUAGUCUUUAUUCACUCUCUUUCAUUCAACAUCACCACUCUAGGACACAUCAUUAUCCACAUUAAAUAUUUUUGAAAGGUUUGUUAUUUUUUCUAAACAACAAUAGGUCCUUUUCAUUUUUUUUUCUCUUUCCUUUUUUGUCUUGAUAUGUCUAGCACACACUUUGUUGGCAUCUGGUGUUGUCCCUAUAGUUAAUGUGUAAUUCCUUUAGAAUUUAUUGAACAAUUAUAAGUUGAUGUUGGAAUUUGAGAUUGAGGGAUAAUUAAGAAAGAGAAGACACAAAACUCCCUAUAUCCUAACAAACACAAAUUCAUAUAGUACAUAUAGUUUCUAUUCAAGCAUUAUUAUUCAAACAAGAGAGGCAGCUGACACGGGAUUAAAAAUAAAGAAAUAUAGUGAUUGCAAACACAUUUUUAAAAUCACCCGAUAACUUAUAAGAGAAGAGGUUACAAUGUUGAAAUACACUUUAUCCUUAAUAAAAAUUUUGUGAUAGAACCACAUGUAUGGACUGGAAGGUACAUGUGGUGUAAUAGCAAUAUGUUGCACCACUGGAAGGUAUACUCUUCAAAAAUACCAUUAGAGUGUGUGUCAGAUUCUCAAAAGCUACGUAUUUUUGGAGGAUCUAAUUUAAUUGCACAAUAUACAAAUGGCAAUAUGCAAUCAUCCACCAAUUUGCACUUUCUUCAAAAUAUAUAAAUGACAAAAUUGUGUUAUGGGACUAAAAAGUAUAAAAAGUCAACUCUACGUGCACUUUUAUAUCCAUUUUCAUUCACUGUAGAAGGUCUCAACAAAGGUAUAAGUGCAAUAAGAAACGUAAACCUAGAAGGAUAAACUCAAGCAAAUACAAUUGAAAAUAGAGAGAACAGGUAUUCAUGUUGUAGACAUGUAAAAUUUAUUGGGUCAAAUUCAUAUAAAAAUUGGAUUUGACCCAUAUUUUAUUGGGUCUAAAAUUAUUUUGGUCUAUAAAAAUAAUAAGCCUAUUUUAUUUCUCAUCAAGGACUUCAAGGCCCAUCUCACCUUAAGGACCAAACUUAUGCCAUGUGUCAAGUGACGUGGCAUCCCAGUCAUAUUAAAUACCAAUGAAGCAAGACCAUACACAUCAAAUGAUGUGGCAAUCUAAGUCAAGUUCAAGAGCCAAUAAAACAUCGCCAAGUCUUCCAAAUGACAUGUGUUUUGCCAAUCACAAGCAACCUUGUCACAUAAUAUUUGUGUUAAGCUUGAAAAUUGAAUGGACCAAUCAGAAUGAGGCAAAAGAGGUUAUUUACACUUGGAUUGCCUACCCCUUACAACUAUAAAUAUGAGGGUUACAUAAUUUUCUGAGGUCAUUCUGCAAGUAGUGGAGAAAGCUACUGCAUUGACUACACAACUCUUCAAAGAAUUGACCAACGGAGUUUUGCAUGUAGAUCAACUCGAUAAGAUGAAGUACUGUCAGACAAUUACUGGAGAUCCAAACACAUUUCUAGUAGGCUUAAAUCACCCGGAAGUUUGAUAAUUAUGCUACAAAAAGCCCUCGAAUCACGGAAAAGCUUAGGAGAGAAGAAUUGAGAGAAUAAUAGAAUUGUACCCGCAAAUUUCGUUUAUAUAAAAUCAUUAUUUCUUUUUAUUUAUUUUUGCUUGCAUUUAAUUUUUCG